This 462-nucleotide ribosomal RNA is filed under the name uncultured bacterium. Its description in RNAcentral is "bacterial SSU rRNA". It matches the Rfam family "Bacterial small subunit ribosomal RNA", at positions 28 to 492 of the family's 1533-position model. The record is from RNAcentral.
GAUGAACGCUGGCGGCGUGCUUAACACAUGCAAGUCGAGCGAAGCACUUUUGAUGAUCCUUCGGGUGAUUCAUUUGUGACUGAGCGGCGGACGGGUGAGUAACGCGUGAGUAACCUGCCUCAUACAGGGGAAUAACAGUUAGAAAUGACUGCUAAUGCCGCAUAAGCGCACAGGACCACAUGGUCUGGUGUGAAAAACUCCGGUGGUAUGAGAUGGACUCGCGUCUGAUUAGCUGGUUGGUGAGGUAACGGCCCACCAAGGCGACGAUCAGUAGCCGGCCUGAGAGGGUGAACGGCCACAUUGGGACUGAGACACGGCCCAAACUCCUACGGGAGGCAGCAGUGGGGAAUAUUGCACAAUGGGGGAAACCCUGAUGCAGCGACGCCGCGUGAGUGAAGAAGUAUUUCGGUAUGUAAAGCUCUAUCAGCAGGGAAGAAAAUGACGGUACCUGACUAAGAAGCC